Molecule: ribosomal RNA, 415 nt
Filed under: uncultured bacterium
Lineage: Bacteria
Description: bacterial SSU rRNA
Rfam family: Bacterial small subunit ribosomal RNA
Source: RNAcentral
UUGGCGGACGGGUGAGUAACACGUGAGUAACCUGCCUUAGACAUUGGGAUAGCCUCGGGAAACCGGGAUUAAUACCAAAUGAAAUCACAUAUGCACAUGCAUAAAUGAUCAAAGCUCCGGCGGUCUAAGAUGGACUCGCGUCCCAUUAGCUAGUUGGUGAGGUAACGGCCCACCAAGGCGACGAUGGGUAGCCGGCCUGAGAGGGUGAACGGCCACAUUGGAACUGAGAAACGGUCCAAACUCCUACGGGAGGCAGCAGUGGGGAAUAUUGCACAAUGGAGGGAACUCUGAUGCAGCGACGCCGCGUGAACGAAGAAGGCUUUCGAGUCGUAAAGUUCUUUUAUAUGGGAAGAUAAUGACGGUACCAUAAGAAAAAGCCCCGGCUAACUACGUGCCAGCAGCCGCGGUAAUACGA